UACGUAGGGCGCAAGCGUUGUCCGGAAUUAUUGGGCGUAAAGGGCUCGUAGGCGGUCUGUUGCGUCGGGAGUGAAAACUCAGGGCUUAACCCUGAGCCUGCUUCCGAUACGGGCAGACUAGAGGUAUGCAGGGGAGAACGGAAUUCCUGGUGUAGCGGUGAAAUGCGCAGAUAUCAGGAGGAACACCGGUGGCGAAGGCGGUUCUCUGGGCAUUACCUGACGCUGAGGAGCGAAAGUGUGGGGAGCGAACAGG
This 253-nucleotide ribosomal RNA is filed under the name uncultured bacterium. RNAcentral describes it as "partial 16S ribosomal RNA". It matches the Rfam family "Bacterial small subunit ribosomal RNA", at positions 524 to 776 of the family's 1533-position model. The record is from RNAcentral.